GAUGAAGAACGUAGCGAAAUGCGAUAAGUAAUGUGAAUUGCAGAGUUCAGUGAAUCAUCGAAUCUUUGAACGCAUCUUGCGCUCCUUGGUAUUCCGAGGAGCAUGCCUGUUUGAGUGUCAUUUAACUUCUCAACCACAUUGGAUAUUUUUUUUCCGAUGCCGGCUUGGAUGUGGGGGUUGUUUGCAGGCUUUUUGUAACAAAAAAGGUUGGCUCCCCUGAAAUGUAUUAGUGGUAUCUGAGGCUAUUACUAUUAGGUGUGAUAAUUAUCUAUGCCUUUUGGGUAUGCCGCAUGAACAGAUUAUGCUGCUUCUAACGAAAACUAUUUUGAUGAAUUUGACCUCAAAUCAGGUAGGACUACCCGCUGAACUUAAGCAUAUCAAUAAGCGGAGGA
RNAcentral lists this unclassified non-coding RNA (392 nucleotides) under soil metagenome. RNAcentral describes it as "partial contains 5.8S ribosomal RNA, internal transcribed spacer 2, and large subunit ribosomal RNA". The stretch from base 1 to 120 matches the Rfam family "5.8S ribosomal RNA", at positions 35 to 154 of the family's 154-position model. The record is from RNAcentral.